This 254-nucleotide ribosomal RNA is filed under the name uncultured bacterium. Its description in RNAcentral is "partial 16S ribosomal RNA". It matches the Rfam family "Bacterial small subunit ribosomal RNA", at positions 524 to 776 of the family's 1533-position model. The record is from RNAcentral.
UACGUAGGGGGCAAGCGUUGUCCGGAUUUAUUGGGCGUAAAAGGCUUGUAGGUGGCCACGCCAAGUCGGAUGUGAAAUCUCCCGGCUCAACUGGGAGGGGUCAUUCGAUACUGGCGGGCUCGAGGCCGGUAGGGGGAAGUGGAAUUCCCGGUGUAGUGGUGGAAUGCGUAGAUAUCGUAAGGAAGACCAGUGGCGAAGGCGGGUCUCUGGACAGUUCCUGACGCUGAGGCACGAAGGUCAGGGGAGCAAACGGG